This 201-nucleotide long non-coding RNA is filed under the name Prunus persica (peach). Its description in RNAcentral is "long non-coding RNA (PPER_LNC008092)". Lineage: Eukaryota; Viridiplantae; Streptophyta; Magnoliopsida; Rosales; Rosaceae. The record is from RNAcentral.
AUUUGGUGGGGUUUGAGUGAAAUCCAAUCUCUAGAACUAUACAAUACACCAACCACUCCAAUAGAGAACGAACUUCGUACGAAUAUGAAUAGUCCAAUCUCUUUGACCAGUCAAUAUUCGAUUGAGCCCACAACUUGGGGAACAUCAUCAUAUUGAGGGAGGAGUCAUUUGGUGGGUUUUUAGUGAAAUCCAAUCCCCAGA